RNAcentral lists this ribosomal RNA (440 nucleotides) under uncultured bacterium. RNAcentral describes it as "partial 16S ribosomal RNA". It matches the Rfam family "Bacterial small subunit ribosomal RNA", at positions 338 to 795 of the family's 1533-position model. The record is from RNAcentral.
CCUACGGGAGGCAGCAGUGGGGGAUAUUGCACAAUGGGGGAAACCCUGAUGCAGCGACGCCGCGUGUGGGCAGACGGUCCUCUGGAUUGUAAACCACUGUCCCCAGGGACGAAGAUGACGGUACCUGGGGAGGCAGCUCCGGCUAACUACGCGCCAGCAGCCGCGGUAAUACGUAGGGAGCGAGCGUUGUCCGGAAUUACUGGGUGAAAAGGGAGCGUAGGCGGGACUGCAAGUUGGGUGUCAAAUCUACCGGCUCAACCGGUAGCCGCACUCAAAACUGCAGUUCUUGAGUGAAGUAGAGGCAGGCGGAAUUCGUAGUGUAGCGGUGAAAUGCGUAGAUAUGAGGAGGAACACCAGUGGCGAAGGCGGCCUGCUGGGCUUUUACUGACGCUGAGGCUCGAAAGUGUGGGGAGCAAACAGGAUUAGAUACCCCAGUAGUC